RNAcentral lists this ribosomal RNA (423 nucleotides) under uncultured bacterium. Its description in RNAcentral is "partial 16S ribosomal RNA". It matches the Rfam family "Bacterial small subunit ribosomal RNA", at positions 361 to 776 of the family's 1533-position model. The record is from RNAcentral.
AUUUUGGACAAUGGGGGAAACCCUGAUCCAGCCAUCCCGCGUGUAUGAUGAAGGCCUUCGGGUUGUAUAGUACUUUUGGCUGAGAAGAAAAGGUAUCUCCUACUACGAGAUACUUAUGACGGUAUCUGCAGAUUAAGCACCGGCUAACUACGUGCCAGCAGCCGCGGUAAUACGGAGUGUGCAAGCGUUAAACGGAAUUAUUGGGCGUAAAGCGUGUGUAGGCGGUUCGGAAAGAAAGAUGUGAAAACCGAGGGCUCAACCUUGGAACUGCAUUUUUAACUGCCGAGCUAGAGUAUGGCAGAGGGGGGUAGAAAUCCACGUGUAGAAGUGAAAUGCGUAGAUAUGUGGAGGAAUACCGAUGGCGAAGGCAGCCCCCUGGGAUAAUACUGACGCUCAGACACGAAAGCGUGGGGAGCAAACAGG